RNAcentral lists this transfer RNA (70 nucleotides) under Geomys texensis. Its description in RNAcentral is "tRNA-Ala". It matches the Rfam family "tRNA". From Rfam's summary of the family: Transfer RNA (tRNA) molecules are approximately 80 nucleotides in length. Their secondary structure includes four short double-helical elements and three loops (D, anti-codon, and T loops). The record is from RNAcentral. Lineage: Eukaryota; Metazoa; Chordata; Mammalia; Rodentia; Geomyidae.
AAAGACUUAGCUUAAUAAAAGCAACUGAUUUGCGUUCAGUAGAUAUAGAGUAGUAAGUCUGUAGUCUUUA